Molecule: ribosomal RNA, 505 nt
Filed under: uncultured bacterium
Lineage: Bacteria
Description: bacterial SSU rRNA
Rfam family: Bacterial small subunit ribosomal RNA
Source: RNAcentral
CUGGCUCAGGAUGAACGCUAGCGGCAGGCUUAACACAUGCAAGUCGAGGGGCAUCGGGAGUAGCAAUACUGCCGGCGACCGGCGCAAGGGUGCGUAACGCGUGAGCAACAUGCCCGUAUCAGGGGGAUAAUCCAUGGAAACGUGGUCUAAUACCCCAUAGUAAUUAUGUAAGGCAUCUUAUAUAAUUUAAAGCUUUGGUGGAUACGGAUUGGCUCGCGUGACAUUAGCUAGAUGGUAAGGUAACGGCUUACCAUGGCUACGAUGUCUAGGGGUUCUGAGAGGAAGGUCCCCCCACACUGGAACUGAGACACGGUCCAGACUCCUACGGGAGGCAGCAGUGAGGAAUAUUGGACAAUGGAUGGAAAUCUGAUCCAGCCAUGCCGCGUGCAGGAAAGACGGCCCUAUGGGUUGUAAACUGCUUUUGUAUGGGAGCAAUAAGGGCUACGUGUAGUCCGAUGAGAGUACCAUACGAAUAAGCACCGGCUAACUCCGUGCCAGCCGCAGC